This 469-nucleotide ribosomal RNA is filed under the name uncultured bacterium. Its description in RNAcentral is "partial 16S ribosomal RNA". It matches the Rfam family "Bacterial small subunit ribosomal RNA", at positions 28 to 507 of the family's 1533-position model. The record is from RNAcentral.
GACGAACGCUGGCGGCGUGCUUAACACAUGCAAGUCGAACGGUGAAGCGAGUGCUUGCACUCGUGGAUCAGUGGCGAACGGGUGAGUAACACGUGAGUAACCUGCCCAUCACUCUGGGAUAAGCACUGGAAACGGUGUCUAAUACUGGAUACGACCAACCCUUGCAUGGGGUGUUGGUGGAAAUAUUUAUCGGUGAUGGAUGGACUCGCGGCCUAUCAGCUUGUUGGCGGGGUAAUGGCCCACCAAGGCGACGACGGGUAGCCGGCCUGAGAGGGUGACCGGCCACACUGGGACUGAGACACGGCCCAGACUCCUACGGGAGGCAGCAGUGGGGAAUAUUGCACAAUGGGCGAAAGCCUGAUGCAGCGACGCCGCGUGAGGGAUGACGGCCCUCGGGUUGUAAACCUCUUUCAGCAGGGAAGAAGCGAAAGUGACGGUACCUGCAGAAGAAGCACCGGCUAACUACGUG